This 617-nucleotide ribosomal RNA is filed under the name uncultured bacterium. Its description in RNAcentral is "bacterial SSU rRNA". It matches the Rfam family "Bacterial small subunit ribosomal RNA", at positions 338 to 944 of the family's 1533-position model. The record is from RNAcentral.
CCUACGGGAGGCAGCAGUGGGGAAUUUUGGACAAUGGGCGCAAGCCUGAUCCAGCCAUGCCGCGUGUGGGAAGAAGGCCUUCGGGUUGUAAACCACUUUUGUCAGGGAAGAAACGGUCUGAACUAAUACUUUGGACUAAUGACGGUACCUGAAGAAUAAGCACCGGCUAACUACGUGCCAGCAGCCGCGGUAAUACGUAGGGUGCAAGCGUUAAUCGGAAUUACUGGGCGUAAAGCGUGCGCAGGCGGCUUUGCAAGACAGAUGUGAAAUCCCCGGGCUCAACCUGGGAACUGCAUUUGUGACUGCAUGGCUAGAGUACGGUAGAGGGGGAUGGAAUUCCGCGUGUAGCAGUGAAAUGCGUAGAUAUGCGGAGGAACACCGAUGGCGAAGGCAAUCCCCUGGACCUGUACUGACGCUCAUGCACGAAAGCGUGGGGAGCAAACAGGAUUAGAUACCCUGGUAGUCCACGCCCUAAACGAUGUCAACUGGUUGUUGGGAGGGUUUCUUCUCAGUAACGAAGCUAACGCGCGAAGUUGACCGCCUGGGGAGUACGGCCGCAAGGUUGAAACUUAAGGAAUUGACGGCUUGAGAGUGCGAGACGACGACGAGGGAGGAGG